GACGAACGCUGGCGGCGUGCCUAAUACAUGCAAGUAGAACGCUGAAGAGAGGAGCUUGCUCUUCUUGGAUGAGUUGCGAACGGGUGAGUAACGCGUAGGUAACCUGCCUGGUAGCGGGGGAUAACUAUUGGAAACGAUAGCUAAUACCGCAUAAAAUGGAUUAUCGCAUGAUAAUCCAUUGAAAGGUGCAAAUGCAUCACUACCAGAUGGACCUGCGUUGUAUUAGCUAGUUGGUGGGGUAACGGCUCACCAAGGCGACGAUACAUAGCCGACCUGAGAGGGUGAUCGGCCACACUGGGACUGAGACACGGCCCAGACUCCUACGGGAGGCAGCAGUAGGGAAUCUUCGGCAAUGGACGGAAGUCUGACCGAGCAACGCCGCGUGAGUGAAGAAGGUUUUCGGAUCGUAAAGCUCUGUUGUAAGAGAAGAACGAGUGGAGAGGGAAAGUUCAC
RNAcentral lists this ribosomal RNA (453 nucleotides) under Streptococcus sp. oral taxon 071. Its description in RNAcentral is "bacterial SSU rRNA". It matches the Rfam family "Bacterial small subunit ribosomal RNA", at positions 28 to 467 of the family's 1533-position model. The record is from RNAcentral. Lineage: Bacteria; Bacillati; Bacillota; Bacilli; Lactobacillales; Streptococcaceae.